UACAUCUCUGUUUUUUUUUGGGGGGGACAGCUGCUGAUACAGAGGCUUGGCAAACUCCAAAAGCAGCAAAAUCCUAUUCAACAAGGAUUAUUCUGGUUCUGUCCUAUGUCACCAAUACCAGGACAGCAGAGGGAUUUGUGCACCUUGACUCUUAAAAUCUCAAGUCUUGUACACACUGCGCAGCUGUAAAAACAGUGAAAGCUGUGCCUCUGUGACCUUGGCUAAUGUGCAGCUCCGUGUCACCCUAUCUGCAGGCCUCCUCGCGUUGCCCCUCGGGAGCGGGGGCCUCUGAAGCUUUCAGGCCGGCAGUCAUGAAAAUAUUCUUUUUGCGGUCAUAAACCGGAACAUGAACCUUAAAUCCUGCCUGUGUUUUUCACACAGGAAAAUACAGUCAAAGGAGAGAGUGAGACUCCGCUAACCAGCAGCUGCACAGGGAUCAAAUGGUGUUUACAAGAAAGGAAACCACCUGUGAAAUCCGUCUUGAUAAUUUUACCUGACCAGAUCUGUGCUCCCUUCAUGAACCUCUGAGCACUGGCUCUCCCUCAGCCUGACACGAGAGCUGAAGUGACUGAAUAGGCAUGUGCAAGGCUGUCCCCUGACAGAGGCACCUCCGCCAGAGCGUUCCCAGCUCUCCUGCUGUAAACACGCUGGUGCAGACUGGGAUAUGCUGGACUGGAGCGGAGCAACUGCAGGCACUGGAUGGAGCUGGCUGUGGACGCUGCUGUGUGAGACCUGUUGGCCUUUCUGAAAUACAGCCUGCUGAACACUCGACAGUCCAUGCUCUCCUCCCAGUGUGCAAGCUGUCCAAGAGAGGAUAAACCACAGAAAAUAAGCACAUGGAGAGGCAGCAAUGGAACAGCAACUGCCCUGUCACACAUCUGUCUGGCAAGGACUGCUAUGGAUCAUACUCAGGUCAGUGAAGGCGGUCCGAGUGCAACCCGGGGUAAAUACCCCUUCCCACACAUGCCCCGUGUUGCUGGAAGCAGCAUCAUGUUCCCAUACCAGCAGUGACUAUUUGCACAUGGUACAAAGUGCUAACAGCAGCGAGGGGCUUAGGACUGCGCAGUACUGUUGUGCCAAAAUUGUGUCAUCAGGCUUCUAUGUGGGUUACUUUUCCUAUUUGACAAGAUUCUUCUCACCAUAACGUACAUUUUAUCUUUGGAGCUGUCGAUGGGAGUCAAGAAAAUGAUCCAUCAAAAGCCUUUAUAUGUUUGGGUUUAAAAAAAAAAAAAAAAAAAAAAAGAAAUAAUUUGCAACCACAUCAGCUUUGGUGCAUAGCAUGUGGCUCAGGGCAGGCAGUGGUGUCAGGCUGCCAAAUGAGGACACAGGCUAGAGCUGUUCCCGCCAUCAUCCCCCUUCCUCAGCAGUGCACUGCUCGGAGCUCUGCCAGACUGGGGCUCCAGCUGGCUGCAGGGUGCUCAGAGCAGCUUUCAGCUGCCCAUAGCAUCUCCUUUUCAGCCCAUUUUGCUCCGGGCAUCCCCGCCAUCACUUCCAGCUCUCCACCCGCACACAGAUGCAGCGAGGUCCCGAGCACUUAACCUUGCGUUGCAGAGAUAGCCUGUGAGAGUGGUCCAGGAGGAAUCCCCACGUAAUCUCUCUGGUGUUUGCGUUACGGCUUCACCAGGCUUUGGAGGAGCAUUUCCCACCACAUGUGGCUGCCCAGGGGCUGCACAGGCAGAGGGGCAGCUGCGGCCUCAGCUGGGCUGGCUGAGGGCUGCAGUGAUGGAUCUCCUCAGCUCCGUGGUUCUCUGACUCACUGAGAUGAGUCUGAACUGAAGCACUCGCAAAAACACUACAGGAAGAAGCAUGCAAAGAUCGACAUCUCGUUUACCCAGACACCACUGAGUUUUUGGGUUUUUUUUCACAGACAUAAUUCACUGGGUCUGGCACGCAACAAGGGGAAAAGCAGCAUCCUUGUGCUGUGUGAGAUCCCAGAUUCUCGCCCCAGGCGAGCUCUUAGUUGGGGGCUGGUGGGGACCAGCACAUGCUAAGGACACACAUCAGCCUUUGUGCUUGAAGAGUGAUGGGCUUCUGCCUUGUGAUCCCAGGAAAGAAUUAGACUUUAGAUGAUGUGCUUUAAAUAGAAAACUCAUUUCUGAAGUAAGCAGAAAACCACAGAUAAGGAUGGCCCAAAGAUGUGGCUAAACUGCCGAGGAAUUCCCCUGCUGGAGCGAGCCGUGGCAGCAGCUCCUGCCCUCCCCAGUCUCCCCACCUGUUCUCAACCGGCCCCAGGCAGCCGCCACAGAUUAGCCAAGGUGCCAGGGGGUUUCUGAAAGACCCAAAGCAGUGCAUGGGGACACAGAGCCUCCCAUAGAAGUGUAUCACAGGCUGAUCCCACUCCUGGCCCAUGGCACCAUGGCCAUUUGUUUGCACAGAGUAAGCAAUGGGACCCACAGUGUCCACCUGGCAAGCCCUGCGCAAUGGAGAAGGGACAGUGGCCCUGGCUCCCAGCUGUAUGCUGGCAUCCCCAGGGGCUGGCGGAAGAUGUAAUGCGGUCUCAGCAUCCAGAUGGCUGCUCCUUGCCAGUCAUGCUCAGCCUGUACAGCCCAGUAUUUCCCCAGCUGUUAAGUGAAGGUGACCGGGUGGCAGCUGCAUGGAGCUCCCUCCCUCUCCCGUUGCAGCCAGACGUGGUUUGUGCUUGGCUUGAGCUGGGCUCCCUGCAGCUUCCCUGGCACCCACGGCCCUGGCAACACAGCCACUCCAGAGGGACAAGCUGUGCCCCAUCUCCCAGCUGGGCAGUGCAACAGGAUGGGCUUUGGGAACUGCUCCCCAGCCUGGCAGCUCUUUGUGAGCCCCCCGAGAGGCAUGGAGACUGGUCACAGCCUUUUCCUGCACGGGUGCCAGCAGCUGCAGUUCUUCCUGCUCAAGCAGCCCCUCUUUUGUAACACUAGAUUUCUCCAGACUUUAAACAAGCCAAGGAGCAGCAUGCUCCUGCCCCACUGUAGCAGGCAGCACAAGGCAGGCAGCAUCAUUACUUUAGCCCAAGGGAGCAGCUGUGCCUCAGGCAUGCCCCAGACGUGUCUCCAUGCUCUGCUCUUUAAAAAUAAAUCCUUAAUGCUUCUCUUCCUCCCUGGUUUCAGUUUGAAAAGCAUCUACAGCUCUUCUUGCCUGUGACGCCAACAGGAAACACGGACUCAUGGCCAGGGUUGCACCCCAGGGCUUAAGGCGUGCAGCCACAGAGGCACAUGGUGUCCUCACUGCCCAGCCCUGGGGUGAGCCUGGCCCCACGGCACUGACAUUGGCCCGGCAGAGAGGGGAGAAUGAGACUGAGGACACAUUUCUGCAGGAACUGAAAAUUUUGUUCUAACAAAAACCUGUGAUGGUCAGGGUCAUCCCAGCUGCUUCAGCUCAGCCUCUGGUUGGGGACUACAUUUUUCCCUGUGGAUGCCAUUUUCAGAAAACAUGAAUGAAUAAACCAUCAAAAGCCCAGAAAGCAGAAGCCAUGACUAAUGGUCUUUGGGCUUCCUCCAAGUUUAAAACCAGAGCAAUAAACAAUUACAGCAACAGAAAUGGGACCAGGCAGCAAGCAGUAGCUGCUCCUCCAUCACCUGGAUGCUCAAGUAUUUGAGCAGUCAGGACCAUGCUUUUAUUUUUUCUAUAUUCCCUUUUAGUAGUAGCAGUAGCCAUUAAGUGCCCUGGUGAGCAGAAGUAUAGGAGCUCGGUGUGCCCUUGCUGCAGUGCCAGCAAAGAUGCCCAUGGCAGCUGUGCUCUGCCAGCUCCUCUCCUGUUCCCCAGCGAUGCUUCAGGACUGUGGAGGACACGCUUCCACAGUGCUGGCUCCAUGUCUGUCCCGGCACCCCCUGACCCAUAGUGGGGACGGAGCCCCAGGGCAGAUUACGAGCACCUCUGUGCUCACCCAAGAAGCUUCAGAAAAGGGAACCGUCAGCUUAUUCCCACAGCACAUGCAGAAGCACAGCUGCGGUUAAGCACCAGCUCUGAGGUAUUGCUCAUUUGCAUCAUGCACUUACCUCAGCUGCUUUGAUGUCACACGUGAAGUUGUGGUGGCCUGGAGCUCCUGUUUAUCCCAGGAGGACAGGUAAGACCAUGCUACUCUCUGGUGAACACAAUCACCGCCAUCCAGGCAGUCUGGUUAUCUGCAAGCUCAUCCCUACUGCCUUUUUGUCCCCACCGUGGCCAGCUGAGUCAGCCACAGUGUAGCACUUGGGGGACCCAGCGCCACUCACCCAUCACUGCCAGUGAGGGCUUGGCAGGGAACCAUGCCAUGAGCCAGAAGGGUGCCUACACCUAUUUAGGCACUGGAGAGGCUGUCCCUUCCUCAGCUCAUACCUCCAUGCCAUUUCAUUUAAUGGUAUCAUCAGGUUUUGUUUUGUUUUUUUUCUCCUCCAGCUGUGUGUGUCCUGAAGACUCAAAUAACACAAAUCACUUCGAUCACUGUCCAAGUGGGGCAAGGGGAGGUGGAGCCCGCAAAACCACAUGUCCCUCUUGCACUGGCCAGCAGAUCCUGCACCUGCUGCGUGAGGCUGGCUGAGGGAUCUCUGAAAAAAUACCUAAAUCAAGUCCUUUCACUGGGCAGCUCCAGGAAAAGGCAGCAGAGCUGCCUGCUCCAGGGAAAGCUAAGGAGUCCAGCCCAGACAUUUUGCAGGACAAGAUCAAUUCAUACAGAAGAAGCUCCAAGACAUAAGAAAGGAGAAACCCUGCUGACAUCCCUGCAGCACUGACCCUCUGGCACAAGCCAUCGGUAAAACAGCAGGGCUGCACCUCCACCAAGCACCCCAGGAGGUGGGAGCAAAGCUGAGGGACAGCCAUGCUCCUCUGUUCCUCCUUUUCCUAUCUUAAGAAGCACAGUAGAGAGUAGGUGAGGACAGAGGGGAAGCUGGUGGAUAAGAAUUAUUCUGUCAUUUAUUAUGGAGUUAUUAGUUAACUCUAUUGUAGAGUUAAAAGCCAGACUUGACAACUUGGAACAAUCUUCUGGUGAGUAUUUUGGGGCAGAGGCAAAAAAUAAAGCAGGCAGAGCUGCCUUGUGAUUUCUUUCUGGUGGGAAAAUAGCAUUUUAGUGAGAAAUGAAAGUUGCAGUGGAAAAACGUCUGAAAUCUUUGCUUUUCCCUAGAGCAACACACAGUAUCUGCUACCAUCAGCAUUUCACAUAGUCUAAUAACAAAAUAUUAAUAUCUGAAAAAACAAGCCUACAGUUCACAGAAAGGCUUUGUGCCAACCUCCUACAGUACACAGACAAGCAGUUGCUGGCAGCUCUGCCAAACCCCAUCUGGAGCAUCUGCUUCUGCGUUACAAAUAAAAGCACCCUGCAGUGUCUGCACAGCUGCAGUCCAGCCCCGCUGAAAGGGAAAGACCUAACGGAGGCUUCGCUGUAAUUACUUGUGGCCAAACCACCUCCUGGGAUGUGAGAGAGAGCAGCCCGCUGUGCAUGUGGAAGGAGGAAUAAGGACAGAAAAGAGGAAAGAGCCUUUGCCCACAUGCGUCGCUGCCCAGACUCAGCAGCACUGCCUCUGUACACUGAAACAAAGUCUAAAAACCUUAGAAGAGGUUAACGAGUUUCUGGGCUGCUCCAUGGCAAGGCCAGAGCCCUUCCUGUGAGACGGAAGGGAUGCCAGCUCCUCCUCUUUCUUCUUAUCAAAGUGGCAUUUCAGAAGUGGCUGUCAUUGCACAGAAGCAGAUAUCUGAUUGUGGGAGCUUUUAAAUUUUAAAAAGACUUAACAAAACCCACUGAUGGGAAACUGAUUUUGGAAAUUCAACAGCCCCAGCGAGGCAGUUGCUCUGCUGAUGCCUGCCGUCUUUCCAAAGGAGCUCUUUUCAGAGACAAUUCCCCUGAGGCUGACCCAGGCACCAGAUGCAGGUAGAGCAGCGCAGGCUGCUCAGCACCUUCCCAGCUGGGCAUCCAGCCCUGCUCCUGGACACAGCAUCCCAGCGGCUGCCCCCACAGGGCAAGGGGAAGGACUGGGUGGGGGAAAAGCUCUGCUUGCAGGCUGAGGAUAGUCCGCAAUCAUUAAAUGCCCAUCUGCCAGACGUUAUCUAGAGACAUACUCAUUUCCUGGCCAGAAAUAAAACAAAAAUGCUGCAAAAUACUUCACUUGGAUGCACUUCUUGGUGAAAAAAUUAUUCUUACACAAGUUUUUCUGCCCAGUUAUAACUCUAUUCUGCCUCCACCUUUUGUGAUCUAGAAACAAGAAACUUUAAUCACCUAAUCAGGACCUUGGACCAUAAUCAAAUUCAGGGCUGGAGGCAAGUUACAGCAGCAGCUCAGUGGUGGCCAGCAGCCUGUGCUUGACCCAGAAGAAAUCUGCACUACAUUCCUGUCACUGUGGCUGCGUUGGGGUUGCCCAGGACACUUAACAGGACUCUUUGGAAGACAAAGUUCUGGAGGCAGCUGAAGUGCCCUGGUCUCGGCGUGAGCUAAGGUCUGUGUAUACCUGAGGAAGGCAGAUACCCUGGCUUUGUACACUUCACUGACUCUGAGCGCUGCUGUGGAAACAAGCCCAGGGGGUGCCAAGCCCCCACUGGUCCCUUCAGCCUGUGGUACCCGGAGCACAGGAGCUGUGCUUGCCCCUAUGUUUGCAAACACUGACCUCAGGGACACCAAGGGUGCGCUCCCCUGACACCGUGCAGCUCCCGAACCUGCGCCAGGUGACACAAAAGGUUUUUUCCUGCAGUAACUUUGAUGAUGCUGGUGAAUUUGGUUUCUUUCCAGAAAAGCAAAAUAAAGUAGCAGAAGGAAGUUAAUAAAGUGCAUAAAAAUCAGUGAAAGGUAAUACUGCCCUGCUUUGAUAAAGAUCACAAGCUUUGCUUCAGAAGAUAAAAAGUAAUGGUAACCCCAGUAAAGAAAUGCCUGAAAAGAAUCUCAUUCUGCUAACUGACUUGAAACUUAGAGCUAUGAACCCAGUUUGAUUUGUUGUAUUGCUUUGUCUCUCUUACUUGAACCAUGAAACUUCCAAGAGGUGCUGUUCUAUUUUGUAAUUUCAGGAUGUCAUAACAUUCAGCUUUACUUGAUGAAUUCACAGUGGGAUUUCUGCUUUAUGCAAGUUUGUAGAUCUUCAAUGAAGCAGCAGAAUUUGGGGAGAAUGGGAUGUUUGGAGAUGCAGAUCAAUAUCUGUGUGAUUACAGACUCCCUGUACUGCUGCACAGAUGUGUGCAGUAUGUUUUCCUCAGAUAGGGUGAGACUAGCUGACCUUUAAAGGUUCAUUCCAACCCCAACUAUUCUAUUCUAUGAACUCUUCCUCUUCUCCUGCCAACCAAGACCACACCAGUGAAUAAAGGCACCACCACAAGCAAA
Long non-coding RNA from Columba livia (rock pigeon), 7246 nucleotides. RefSeq lists it as uncharacterized. Lineage: Eukaryota; Metazoa; Chordata; Aves; Columbiformes; Columbidae. The record is from RefSeq and is a predicted model, not a curated record. The transcript is spliced from 3 exons.